AACGAACGCUGGCGGCAUGCCUAACACAUGCAAGUCGAACGAGACCUUCGGGUCUAGUGGCGCACGGGUGCGUAACGCGUGGGAACCUGCCCUUAGGUUCGGAAUAACUCCCCGAAAGGGGUGCUAAUACCGGAUAAUGUCUUCGGACCAAAGAUUUAGCGCCUUUGGAUGGGCGCGCGUUGGAUUAGCUAGUUGGUAGGGUAAUAGCCUACCAAGGCGACGAUCCGUAGCUGGUCUGAGAGGAGGAUCGGCCACACUGGGAGUGAGACACGGCCCAGACAACUACGGGAGGGAGCAGGAGGGAAUAUGACACAAGGGGCGGGAGCCUGAUGCAGCAAAGCCUCGUACAGGAUGACGGCCUUCGAGUUGUAAACCGGUGUCGCGUGAAACGAAGCGGGAGUGACGGGAAUGGGUAAAGAAGCACGGGGGAGCUACGUG
RNAcentral lists this ribosomal RNA (438 nucleotides) under uncultured bacterium. RNAcentral's name for it is "partial 16S ribosomal RNA". It matches the Rfam family "Bacterial small subunit ribosomal RNA", at positions 29 to 507 of the family's 1533-position model. The record is from RNAcentral.